RNAcentral lists this long non-coding RNA (2839 nucleotides) under Paramuricea clavata. The record is from RNAcentral. Lineage: Eukaryota; Metazoa; Cnidaria; Anthozoa; Malacalcyonacea; Plexauridae.
CUCAAACUCUGGUCAACCCAAAGACUCAUUAAGCCUUAUGUUUUCAUCCCGCAGGCGUAUAUAUAAGACCUGCUAGGAGAGACUGAAUGCUCCAUAGGAGCUCUGCCCGAAGGGUAGCGACCCCCUCUGACAUAGACCUGAACCAAGGGGUGAUAAUCCCCUUGGACAGUACCUACGAUUCGACUGAUUAUAUUUACAUAAAUAACCUGAGUCUAUGGGCCUGAAGUUGACCAUUGGGAACACUUCAACCCCGAACCAAAAUUUAUUUGUUUGAACAUAAACCAAUUUAAUUUAAGUAUUUACAUAGCGAUAAUUUUCCAUGAGAAAAUUGUUCGAUAAUGGUUCGACAGUCUUUCUUGACAAUUUGUUCUUGAACAGCCCUUGCAUAACAUUAGUUAGUACCCAUACAAUGCACCAGAUACCAGGAACAUGAACGGGUGGGUGGGUGGGUGGAAAUUUUCUUUCUCUGUAACAAGACAUUGCUCUUUGUUGGGAUAUUUGUCAAAGUGAACUCCCUUAUCACAUUGACCUUUGUUCUGCGUGUUCGUUGUUGACAUAUGAUUGGUCAGUUGAUCUUUCAUUCGGUUUACACAUGCCCAGAGAAACAUUUGAACUUUGGACUAUUGGAUAUCGCCUUUUUGUGGCUGUUGACAAGCUUAUCUUGUUACUAUGAGAUUAUAACCAGGUUUGAAGGUGACAAACGUGUUGUCUCAUUAACUUGAAUUUAUAUAUUGUUAUAUAUAAAUUUGCUUUAAUAAUUCAAGCACGUUAGGUGAAAGAACAGCCCGAAAAUAAGUAAAACACACACCAAAUCAUUGUGGGAGAAUGGGUUCAGGGGGAAGUGAACCAAUUAUAUACAUUAUACUCUCAAACUCUGGUCAACCCAAAGACUCAUUAAGCCUUAUGUUUUCAUCCCGCAGGCGUAUAUAUAAGACCUGCUAGGAGAGACUGAAUGCUCCAUAGGAGCUCUGCCCGAAGGGUAGCGACCCCCUCUGACAUAGACCUGAACCAAGGGGUGAUAAUCCCCUUGGACAGUACCUACGAUUCGACUGAUUAUAUUUACAUAAAUAACCUGAGUCUAUGGGCCUGAAGUUGACCAUUGGGAACACUACAACCCCACAAAUACACAGCAUGUGUAUUCCCCAUAGACGAACUCCCACCACAGCUGUAUUUGUAUACAAGACAGCUGCUGCCAGAUGAUAGUUAGACAUAUAUUUGGGUGUUACCAUCACUCAUACUAUAGCUGGAUAGUCAGGGAGGCCAGAAAAAACCUGGAAUAUACAGGAAACCUGGAUGGGGCCAAGACAACCAGCAGCUUCCCCACAAAGCUUCUAUCUUACAAUUUUUUAAUUGGAGGGUUGGUAACACGACAAACAAAGCUCACUAUCGAGGCACAUUUUAUUUAUUUUUAUUUAUUUUUUUUUUUUUUUAAAGUUAAUGUGUUUACAAAUACGUUUUGCACAACAUUUAUUUGUUAACCACCCUUAUUUUAUUUCAAUUAUGAUCAGUGGAACUUUCUCGAAUUAUGUGACAUUACUCUCAGAAAAAUAGCUUAUUCAUUACUUUAAUUCAAAAUAGCAAGACCAAAAUUUUGCGAUCGAACAUCCAAUCAUGCAUGCAUGAUAUUAGCAGAAAGAAAUUGUAAGAAUAUGUAUUUGGUAGUCAAAAUAGAUUAUAUGCAGUAAAUAAUAGUACAUCAAAGGAUUUUCAAUUUUCAUAAGCGUAGGCAUACAUGGUAUCGUACCAAUCUUUCCUGAUAUCCAUCUUGCCGAUUCAUCGCAAAUGUACCUAAACGUAUAUCAUGUGCAGAGUUUUAAGUCUCAAAUUUCGUUCACAAAUGAGCUUGCUUUCUUAAGUUUUGAACAGUAAAGUAUUGAAAAUGUAUGCAGGUCGAAUUAAUUUUGUGAAAUAGCUGAAAAAGAAGUUUUAUAAUUCUACUUUUGAGCGAUUGAAUACAGUUUAAUGUAAGGCCUGAUUGAAACCCAAUCCAACGCCAAAUCUGAGGCGUAAUCUGAAGCCUUAAACUGCGGCUAACCUCAAGGUAGUAAUAAAAUUGUCAUUGGAAUUUUUGAUCGACAAAUAUAAAUACACCAGAAUGUUGUUAUAAAAUAGACGAAUUUUAAUACAUUUUGGUUGGUUUGAGAUGCGGAAUACGAAACAAACGUGUCAAUGCACCGCAUACUUACGCGCCGAAUACCGCUUCACUUUAGGAAGCAUGUGCAUUGAGACAUGGAAUGAUAUCAAUUGAACGCUUGUUGAUUUCGUGUUUAGCGGCUUUAGCCUAUCGAUCUUGUUGUUAUUCCCCCAGCGGCGGUUUCAUUUAAUGGUAAUAACUUCGUCGGGACUUGGGCCAACGUAUUCCUUUGUCCACCAGAAGAGUAAAAGCGCUUGUCCGGUAGAGUUCUAUUUGAAUAAACUGCGUCUCACUGAAUUAUCAUACUGAGUUACUGACCAAAUUUUCUUUAAUAUAACCAUGAUAUGUCAAUUCCAGCGUUCAUAAACUCUUUUCUGUCACAUUGUCUCAGUUCAUUCGAUGUCCGUAAUUCUUUACAGCUCCGCACCAAGUCAAAUUUUCUUUCUCGGUAACAAGACAUUGCUCUUUGUUGGGAUAUUUGUCAAAGUGAACUCCCUUAUCACAUUGACCUUUGUUCUGCGUGUUCGUUGUUGACAUAUGAUUGGUCAGUUGAUCUUUCAUUCGGUUUUACACAUGCCCAGAGAAACAUUUGAACUUUGGACUAUUGGAUAUCGUCUUUUUGUGGCUGUUGACAAGCUUAUCUUGUUACUAUGAGAUUAUAACCAGGUUUGAAGGUGACAAACGUGUUGUCUCAUUAACUUGAAU